GGUGGGUUCGCAUAGUGGCCGAGUGCAGUCGCCUUGAAAGCGACCAGACCUAAACAGUCUCGUGGGUUCAAAUCCCACACCCACCG
Molecule: transfer RNA, 86 nt
Filed under: Actinomycetota bacterium
Lineage: Bacteria; Bacillati; Actinomycetota
Also listed under: 1 other name
Description: tRNA-Ser
Rfam family: tRNA
About the family: Transfer RNA (tRNA) molecules are approximately 80 nucleotides in length.
Source: RNAcentral